Neofelis nebulosa (Clouded leopard) is the source of this 752-nucleotide long non-coding RNA. RefSeq lists it as uncharacterized. NCBI's taxonomy places the organism in Eukaryota, Metazoa, Chordata, Mammalia, Carnivora, Felidae. The record is from RefSeq and is a predicted model, not a curated record. The transcript has 2 exons.
CAGAAUCCAAAGCAGGCUCUAGACUCUGAGCUGUCAGCACAGACCCCGAUGUGGGGCUCAAACUCAUGAACCUCGAGAUCAUGACCUGAGCUAAGUCGGAUGCUUAACCGACCGGGCCACCCAGGCGCCCCAGGAGUUGCUUUUUUUUUUUAUGUUUUGUUUUGCUUUGUUUCAGUGAAAUGGGAAUGUCCUGAGCUAAGAUGUUCCACCAGCCCAGAAGAAGCCCUUACAAUGAGAAUGCCUGUUAGAGAGGACUCAGAAAAGAUGAACUAAGAAUCCCUGGUGAGGGGCUCGGGUAGAAGUGGUGAGGUCCACCCUGGUUUCAGAUUUAGAGAUUAGUGUCACCGGCGCUUCCUCCAGGCUGUCUCCUGGCUAGCUCCCUUCAGCUGAACAGUUGAGGGUGGCUGUUGGGCUUUUGUUCGCAAGGAAUAAGGAAAAAAAGACUACCCAGACAAGACCAAAGUUUGCUUCCUCCUCCUCCAUAUGAAUUCGUUGGAAUGAAGGCCAGCCCUGAUUCGGCUGAAGAGGGAACAACAGCAUGAAUGCCGGGAGCCAUUGGAGAGGCUGGUUCUUGACGAUGUCAGGAUCCCCUCUGAAACAACGUAACCAUAAUUUCUUAGCAUUAUCAACUAUGGAGCCACUGUCUACACUUUUCUCAACUGUUUGCUUCAAUCAGGAUCCAAAUGAGUUCCAUAUAUUGUGAUUUGUCAUUAUUUCUCUUAAGCCCCUUUUAAACUAUAGAUUCCUCCUUC